AUUGAACGCUGGCGGCAGGCCUAACACAUGCAAGUCGAACGAGUGGCGGACGUGUGAGUAAUGUAUGGGAAACUGCCCGAUGGAGGGGGAUAACUACUGGAAACGGUAGCUAAUACCGCAUACCAUCGGAUGUGCCCAGAUGGGAUUAGCGAGUAGGUGGGGUAACGGCUAACCUAGGCGACGAUCCCUAGCUGGUCUGAGAGGGUGACCAGCCAACCGGGAACUGAGACAGGGUCCGGACUCCUACGGGGGGAAGCAGUGGGGAAUAUUGCACAAGGGGCGCAAGCCUGAUGCAGCCAUGCCGCGGGUAUGAAGAAGGCCUUCGGGUUGUAAAGUACUUUCAGCGAGGAGGCGUUACUCGCAGAAGAAGCACCGGCUAACUCCGUGCCAGCCGCCGCGGUAAUUC
RNAcentral lists this ribosomal RNA (406 nucleotides) under uncultured bacterium. RNAcentral describes it as "partial 16S ribosomal RNA". It matches the Rfam family "Bacterial small subunit ribosomal RNA", at positions 29 to 526 of the family's 1533-position model. The record is from RNAcentral.